RNAcentral lists this ribosomal RNA (253 nucleotides) under uncultured bacterium. Its description in RNAcentral is "partial 16S ribosomal RNA". It matches the Rfam family "Bacterial small subunit ribosomal RNA", at positions 524 to 776 of the family's 1533-position model. The record is from RNAcentral.
UACGAAGGGGGCUAGCGUUGCUCGGAAUUACUGGGCGUAAAGCGCACGUAGGCGGCUUGUUAAGUCAGGGGUGAAAGCCUGGAGCUCAACUCCAGAACUGCCUUUGAUACUGACGAGCUUGAGUUCGGGAGAGGUGAGUGGAACUGCGAGUGUAGAGGUGAAAUUCGUAGAUAUUCGCAAGAACACCAGUGGCGAAGGCGGCUCACUGGCCCGAUACUGACGCUGAGGUGCGAAAGCGUGGGGAGCAAACAGG